GACGAACGCUGGCGGCGUGCUUAACACAUGCCAGUCGAACGGAAAGGCCCCUUUGGGGGUACUCGAGUGGCGAACGGGUGAGUAACACGUGAGUAACCUGCCCUUGACUUCGGGAUAACUUCAGGAAACUGGGGCUAUACCGGAUAGGAAUCCUUGCUGCAUGGUGGGGGUUGGAAAGCUUCGGCGGUUUUGGAUGGACUCGCGGCUUAUCAGCUUGUUGGUGGGGUAGUGGCUUACCAAGGCUUUGACGGGUAGCCGGCCUGAGAGGGCGACCGGCCACAUUGGGACUGAGAUACGGCCCAGACUCCUACGGGAGGCAGCAGUGGGGAAUAUUGCACAAUGGGCGGAAGCCUGAUGCAGCAACGCCGCGUGCGGGAUGACGGCCUUCGGGUUGUAAACCGCUUUCAGCAGGGGCGAAGCUUGUGGUGACGGUACCUGCAGAAGAAGCACCGGCUAACUACGUG
This 464-nucleotide ribosomal RNA is filed under the name uncultured bacterium. RNAcentral describes it as "partial 16S ribosomal RNA". It matches the Rfam family "Bacterial small subunit ribosomal RNA", at positions 28 to 507 of the family's 1533-position model. The record is from RNAcentral.